Molecule: ribosomal RNA, 446 nt
Filed under: uncultured bacterium
Lineage: Bacteria
Description: partial 16S ribosomal RNA
Rfam family: Bacterial small subunit ribosomal RNA
Source: RNAcentral
CCUACGGGAGGCAGCAGUCGAGAAUUAUUCACAAUGGGGGAAACCCUGAUGGUGCGACGCCGCGUGGGGGAAUGAAGGUCUUCGGUUUGUAAACCCCUGUCAUGUGGGAGCAAAUUAAAAAGAUAGUACCACAAGAGGAAGAGACGGCUAACUCUGUGCCAGCAGCCGCGGUAAUACAGAGGUCUCAAGCGUUGUUCGGAAUCACUGGGCGUAAAGCGUGCGUAGGCUGUUUCGUAAGUCGUGUGUGAAAGGCGCGGGCUCAACCCGCGGACUGCACAUGAUACUGCGAGACUAGAGUAAUGGAGGGGGAACCGGAAUUCUCGGUGUAGCAGGGAAAUGCGUAGAGAUCGAGAGGAACACUCGUGGCGAAGGCGGGUUCCUGGACAUUAACUGACGCUGAGGCACGAAGGCCAGGGGAGCGAAAGGGAUUAGAUACCCUUGUAGUC